GUGGGGAAUUUUGGACAAUGGGGGAAACCCUGAUCCAGCCAUCCCGCGUGUGCGAUGAAGGCCUUCGGGUUGUAAAGCACUUUUGGCAGGAAAGAAACGGCGCGUGCUAAUACCAUGCGCAACUGACGGUACCUGCAGAAUAAGCACCGGCUAACUACGUGCCAGCAGCCGCGGUAAUACGUAGGGUGCAAGCGUUAAUCGGAAUUACUGGGCGUAAAGCGUGCGCAGGCGGUUCGGAAAGAAAGAUGUGAAAUCCCAGGGCUCAACCUUGGAACUGCAUUUUUAACUACCGGACUAGAGUAUGUCAGAGGGAGGUGGAAUUCCACGUGUAGCAGUGAAAUGCGUAGAUAUGUGGAGGAACACCGAUGGCGAAGGCAGCCUCCUGGGAUAAUACUGACGCUCAUGCACGAAAGCGUGGGGAGCAAACAGG
RNAcentral lists this ribosomal RNA (430 nucleotides) under uncultured bacterium. Its description in RNAcentral is "bacterial SSU rRNA". It matches the Rfam family "Bacterial small subunit ribosomal RNA", at positions 354 to 776 of the family's 1533-position model. The record is from RNAcentral.